UUGUACUACUCCUAAAUUGCUUUAAAAAUAACACAACAUCACUAAACUAAUUAAUGCAAGCAUCUUCCAACAUGACUACAAAUAGUGCAUAAAAUACUGAACUUAAAUACCUUACCCUUGGAUUAGCAAUCAAGGAAUCACAAGCUAUUGCUUCAAGCACUAACAAUAGCCCAACAAAACAAGAAACAAAAGACAAAAGAACGAAGAAGAAAAGAAAGAAGAAAAAAG
RNAcentral lists this long non-coding RNA (228 nucleotides) under Gossypium raimondii (Peruvian cotton). RNAcentral's name for it is "long non-coding RNA (GRAI_LNC009265)". The record is from RNAcentral. Lineage: Eukaryota; Viridiplantae; Streptophyta; Magnoliopsida; Malvales; Malvaceae.